GCUCCCAUCGUCUAUCGGUUAGGACACGACCCUUUCAAGGUUGAGAGCGGGGUUCGAUUCCCCGUGGGAGCG
RNAcentral lists this transfer RNA (72 nucleotides) under Longimicrobium terrae. It matches the Rfam family "tRNA". Rfam says of the family: Transfer RNA (tRNA) molecules are approximately 80 nucleotides in length. Their secondary structure includes four short double-helical elements and three loops (D, anti-codon, and T loops). RNAcentral also lists the same sequence under 4 other names. Lineage: Bacteria; Pseudomonadati; Gemmatimonadota; Longimicrobiia; Longimicrobiales; Longimicrobiaceae. The record is from Rfam by way of RNAcentral.